AUGUCGGACCUUGGUGAGUUACAUCAUUUUCUUGGCAUAAAUGUUACUCCCAACUCCUCCGGCUUGUUUCUUUGCCAGCAACAGUACACACUUGAGAUUCUUGACCGUGCUGACAUGCUCCAUUGCAAACCGGUGUCCACUCCCGUCGACACCUCUUCCAAACUGUCCAUUCAUGAUGGCAAACCUCUUUCCAACCCCACCUACUACCGCAGCUUGGCCGGUGCACUCCAAUACCUUACUCUCACUCGACCAGAUAUCUACUAUGCCAUCCAACAAGUUUGCCUCUUCAUGCAUGAGCCGCGUGACAUCCACAUGCAGUUGGUUAAACGCAUCCUUCGAUAUCUACAAGGCACAUCCCACUAUGGCAUUCAGCUCUACAAGUCACCAUCUCAUGAGCUCAUUGCUUACACAGACGCUGAUUGGGCCGGGUGUCCCGAUACUCGCAAGUCCACUUCUGGGUUCUGCGUUUUUCUUGGCAACAACAUCAUUUCUUGGUCCUCGAAGCGUCAACCCACUGUCUCUAGAUCCAGUGCCGAAGCUGAGUACCGGGGCGUCACUAACUGUGUCGCUGAAUCAUGCUGGCUACGCCAACUCUUGCAUGACCUCAAGAGUCCUCCGACCCGUGCCACCGUGGUUUAUUGUGACAACGUCAGCGCCACAUAUCUCGCCUCCAACCCCGUCCAACAUCAACGGACAAAGCACAUUGAGAUUGAUCUUCACUUCGUCCAAGAUCGUGUUGCUCUGGAUGAGGCUCGUGUUCUGCAUGUGCCAUCGAGUUCACAGUUUGCUGAUUUGUUCACCAAAGGUUUAUCGUCACAAGUUUUUCAUGAGUUCCGUGCCAGCCUAAACGUCCUACCUCACGGAGUUCCAGCUGAGGGGGGUUGUUAA
This 888-nucleotide ribosomal RNA is filed under the name Triticum aestivum (bread wheat). RNAcentral's name for it is "partial small subunit ribosomal RNA". The record is from RNAcentral. Lineage: Eukaryota; Viridiplantae; Streptophyta; Magnoliopsida; Poales; Poaceae.